UCAAAAUAAUUUAAGGUAGUAAUAAUUUUUAUUUAAACCUAUUUUAAUUUGGCGGCAUAACAUCUAAUUAGAGGAAUUUGUCUAUUAAUUGAUAAUCCACAAUAAAUUUUACUUUUUUAAAACUUAUAUACCGCCAUCAAAAGAGUUAAUUUAAAAUAUUGUUCUAAAUAAUUAUUAAAAGUUAUAGGUCAAGGUGUAGUUUAUAUAAAGUAUAGUUGAAUUACAUUAAAAUAAAUUUAAGGAUUUUUUUUAUUAAAAUUUUAAAUGAAAAUAGGAUUUAAAAGUAAAAAUUUAUAAUAAUAAUAAUUUUUGAAUUUGUUAGAAAUGUACACAUAUCGCCCGUCAUCCUUUUUUUAAAAAAAGGU
This 365-nucleotide ribosomal RNA is filed under the name Psechrus sinensis. RNAcentral describes it as "partial 12S ribosomal RNA". The record is from RNAcentral. Lineage: Eukaryota; Metazoa; Arthropoda; Arachnida; Araneae; Psechridae.